GACGAACGCUGGCGGCGUGCUUAACACAUGCAAGUCGAACGGAAAGGCCCUGCUUUUGUUGGGUGCUCGAGUGGCGAACGGGUGAGUAACACGUGAGUAACCUGCCCUUGACUUUGUGAUAACUUCAGGAAACUGGGGCUAAUACCGGAUAGGAGCUCCUGCUGCACGGUGGGGGUUGGUAAGUUUCGGCGGUUGGGGAUGGACUCGCGGCUUAUCAGCUUGUUUGUGGGGUAGUGGCUUACCAAGGCUUUGACGGGUAGCCGGCCUGGGAGGGUUAACGGGCACAUUGGGACUACGAUACGCACCAGUCUCCUACGGGAGGCAGUAGUGGGGAAUAUUACACAAUGGGCGGAAGCCAGAUGCGGAAACGCCGCGUGCGGGAUGCUGGGCUUCGGGUUGUAAACCGCUUUCGCAUGUGCCGAAGCGUGCGUGACGGUAAUGGGUCAAGAAGCACCGGCUAACUACGUG
RNAcentral lists this ribosomal RNA (468 nucleotides) under uncultured bacterium. Its description in RNAcentral is "partial 16S ribosomal RNA". It matches the Rfam family "Bacterial small subunit ribosomal RNA", at positions 28 to 507 of the family's 1533-position model. The record is from RNAcentral.